GAAAGUCCGAGCCAGGGCGCAAGGGAGUUCGCCCAGAGAUCUGGAAGGCCACGCCUCCUCGCACCUACCCUCUCAGCAUUGCAGCUGGGGACAGAGCUCAGGUAGGACUGCGCUGGCCACCUCUGCCAGCCGCCGCAGGGGCGAGACCCCGAGGGGCUGGCCUGGAUGGGACUCGGGCGGGAUGCUGGCGCCGGGAUCCUGACUGUCAGAAGCCACGCGUCCUCUCUGGGUCACUUCUCUUACCUAUGUGCAAGAUCUUGCAAAAGGGCUGCCUCACCUGCCUUGUCCACUCUCCAGGCAGGAGGAACACGUGUGACCUGGGGUGGCUAGCCUGAGUCUGAGUCCCUGAAGCUCUGGUUUUCACCAGAUACCUUAGAUAGAGGAAGAGACCCUCCACUUACAGUAUUGCAGUUGUCUGGUUGAAGUUGUUUUUAGUUGUUUGUUUUCAUGCAAAGAUUGUCAACCACCAAAGCUGUGGCAUGCAUUAAUAGCAAACAUUGAAGUGUGCUUAUAAAAUGCCCUCAAAAACUUGUAUCAUGUGUAGUUAGUAGGAUGUGUACAUUUGUCUGUAAGUUUCUUAUUUCUGAAGUAGACCACAUCACGUGCUUCUCAUUUUCCCAAAGUGUCUGUCUUUGGAGUCAAGUAACUUCUGCCUAAGAGUGUUUGGGCUAUAUUUAAGAGACAAUUCGUACUGUCCAUUCUCCCCAAAUUCUCAAAAAAGCUGCAUUGAAAAAGUUCUGUGGCCUGGACCAGUUACUGCCUUGUUUUGAAAUAGCUCCAUUGUGGUGGUGCUCUUAAAGCUCAUGGUUGGUCUUGUCUUAAAGCACUGUCAAAGUAUUCUGUUUCUCCUUAUUCUUUUUCCUUUCUUGUGAGGGACAGAUACCCCUUUUCAUUCUCAGACUAAGUCAGAGCAGGCUAAAUUCGGGUUUCAAUGUCAUUGCACUGGUAUGCACUGGUAUGGUGCAUUUUGUAAGCUUUCCUACUUUUAAACUCGGAGUCUGGUCCCUUAACCUGUCAAAGAGAUGAGAACCGAAGGGCUGCCUGGAAUGGCUUUUUGGCCGAGACUACAGCUGCACUUGUACAUAGAGAACAGAAUCCAGGCCAGGAGGGAAAUAGAAUUUAUAAAGCUUCGAGCAUUGAUCUAGUCAUUCAUCUAUUUGUAUUGACUAGCCGCUAACAGUAUGUCUGAUAAUGUGCUGUGUUCGGCGAAGAUAGUAGUGAACAAUACAGAAAGUUCUGGACUGGUGGUGGGUGGAGAUCAAUCCUCAUGCAGAUGCAUAAACAGGAGUGAGAAAGGUAGCGAGGAAAAAACGAAGCAAGUGGAGGAGAGAAGGGGCUGUUGAGUACAGAUCCAAAUUAAGUGAGGAACUGGAUUCCACAGUUAUGGGGGGUAUGGUGUAGUUGAGUACAAAGGCUCUAAGGUUGAAAUACAUUUGUUAUCACUGGAGUAAUAAAGAUAUAGGGCUUAGUAGUCUGGAGAAGGCGUAUUCAGUGACUUGUUACAUUUAUGAUAGUUUGUGCUUAUUGAUCACCAACUUAGUUAGCUUUGGGAGGAGAAUCUAGGGUCAGUACACAUGUAAAGGUACUUCCAUGCUCAAUAAAGAGCAACAUUUAGUCAGUUAAUGUCAUGUAUGUUGCCCUUUGUUUUUGUUAGAUUGGAUUUGCCCAAUAGUGUCAGUAUUUAGUGAAUAUGUCUCUCCUCUGUACCAAAUUUACUUUUCAUUUUCUUUAUCAUUAUAGUAAAAUGUACCUAAUAAAAUAUUUUAGUUGGGCAGUAGGAGGCAUCUCUGACAACAACAACAACAACAACAACAAGAAAAACAACAACAAUUUCAAGACUUCAGUAAUGCAAAUGAUGUUCAUGUUGUUGAAUAGCUAUCAUUGCUGUUUGUCUUCAGUACUUUCUCAUUUUCCUGGAUGAACUCUGUAACAUAUUAAAUACUAUCUCCUCAUUGCUAACUCUCUUAAGCCCCUGGCAACAAUGGAGCUUCUUUCUGUGUCUAUGACUCUGACUAUUGUGGACAUAUCAUAUGAGUGUACUCACACAGCAUUCGUUCUUUUGUGACUGGCUUAUUUAACUUAGGACAAUGUCCCUACGUUUCAAUUGUUAUCGCAUAUGUCAGAAUGCCCUUCCUUUAAAAGCUGAAUAUAAUAAUCACUGUAUAAAUGUAUCAGUUUUUAUGUAUUUGUUUACCUGUGGAUGCUUGAAUUGUUUACUUUUUUGGCUACUACUGUAAAUGAUACAGCUGUGUGCACAAACAUCUGUUUACCUUACUUUCAUUUCUCUUGGUUAUAUAUCCUUAAAUGAAGCUGAUUAAAUGAAAAUUUGGAAUAGUUU
Molecule: long non-coding RNA, 2338 nt
Filed under: Mus musculus (house mouse)
Lineage: Eukaryota; Metazoa; Chordata; Mammalia; Rodentia; Muridae
Description: long non-coding RNA chr13:77708752-77711090
Source: RNAcentral